ACAGGAUUAGAUACCCGGGUAGUCCACGCCGUAAACGAUGUCGACUUGGAGGUUGUGCCCUUGAGGCGUGGCUUCCGGAGCUAACGCGUUAAGUCGACCGCCUGGGGAGUACGGCCGCAAGGUUAAAACUCAAAUGAAUUGACGGGGGCCCGCACAAGCGGUGGAGCAUGUGGUUUAAUUCGAUGCAACGCGAAGAACCUUACCUACUCUUGACAUCCAGAGAACUUGCCAGAGAUGGCUUGGUGCCUUCGGGAACUCUGAGACAGGUGCUGCAUGGCUGUCGUCAGCUCGUGUUGUGAAAUGUUGGGUUAAGUCCCGCAACGAGCGCAACCCUUAUCCUUUGUUGCCAGCGGUCCGGCCGGGAACUCAAAGGAGACUGCCAGCGAUAAACUGGAGGAAGGUGGGGAUGACGUCAAGUCAUCAUGGCCCUUACGAGUAGGGCUACACACGUGCUACAAUGGCGCAUACAAAGAGAAGCGACCUCGCGAGAGCAAGCGGACCUCAUAAAGUGCGUCGUAGUCCGGAUUGGAGUCUGCAACUCGACUCCAUGAAGUCGGAAUCGCUAGUAAUCGUGGAUCAGAAUGCCACGGUGAAUACGUUCCCGGGCCUUGUACACACCGCCCGUCACACCAUGGGAGUGGGUUGCAAAAGAAGUAGGUAGCUUAACCUUCGGGAGGGCGCUUACCACUUUGUGAUUCAUGACUGGGGUGAAGUCGUAACAAGGUAAC
This 728-nucleotide ribosomal RNA is filed under the name uncultured bacterium. RNAcentral describes it as "bacterial SSU rRNA". It matches the Rfam family "Bacterial small subunit ribosomal RNA", at positions 772 to 1500 of the family's 1533-position model. The record is from RNAcentral.